GCAGUCGAGCGGACCGAUGGGAGCUUGCUCCUUUAGGUUAGCGGCGGACGGGUGAGUAACACGUGGGCAACCUGCCCUGCAGACUGGGAUAACUUCGGGAAACCGGAGCUAAUACCGGAUAACACCGAAAACCGCAUGGUUUUCGGUUGAAAGGCGGCUUUUAGCUGUCACUGCAGGAUGGGCCCGCGGCGCAUUAGCUAGUUGGUGAGGUAACGGCUCGCCAAGGCGACGAUGCGUAGCCGACCUGAGAGGGUGACCGGCCACACUGGGACUGAGACACGGCCCAGACUCCUACGGGAGGCAGCAGUAGGGAAUCUUCCGCAAUGGACGAAAGUCUGACGGAGCAACGCCGCGUGAGCGAAGAAGGUCUUCGGAUCGUAAAGCUCUGUUGUCAGGGAAGAACAAGUGCCGUUCGAACAGGGCGGUACCUUGACGGUACCUGACGAGGAAGCCACGGCUAACUACGUGCCAGCAGCCGCGGUAAU
This 485-nucleotide ribosomal RNA is filed under the name uncultured bacterium. Its description in RNAcentral is "bacterial SSU rRNA". It matches the Rfam family "Bacterial small subunit ribosomal RNA", at positions 57 to 524 of the family's 1533-position model. The record is from RNAcentral.